GGGGGUAUAGCUCAGUGGUAGAGCAUUUGACUGCAAAACAUAAAGUUGUCUCCA
RNAcentral lists this transfer RNA (54 nucleotides) under Mustela putorius furo (domestic ferret). It matches the Rfam family "tRNA". From Rfam's summary of the family: Transfer RNA (tRNA) molecules are approximately 80 nucleotides in length. Their secondary structure includes four short double-helical elements and three loops (D, anti-codon, and T loops). The record is from Rfam by way of RNAcentral. Lineage: Eukaryota; Metazoa; Chordata; Mammalia; Carnivora; Mustelidae.